RNAcentral lists this ribosomal RNA (256 nucleotides) under uncultured bacterium. Its description in RNAcentral is "partial 16S ribosomal RNA". It matches the Rfam family "Bacterial small subunit ribosomal RNA", at positions 524 to 778 of the family's 1533-position model. The record is from RNAcentral.
CACGUAGGGGGCAAGCGUUGUCCGGAUUCAUUGGGCGUAAAGAGCUCGUAGGCGGCUCAGUAAGUCGGGUGUGAAACCCUCAGGCUCAACCUGGGGACGCCACUCGAUACUGCUGUGGCUAGAGUCCAGUAGGGGAGUGUGGAAUUCCCGGUGUAGCGGUGAAAUGCGCAGAUAUCGGGAGGAACACCAGCGGCGAAGGCGGCACUCUGGGCUGGUACUGACGCUGAGGAGCGAAAGCGUGGGUAGCAAACAGGGA